Molecule: ribosomal RNA, 250 nt
Filed under: uncultured prokaryote
Description: partial 16S ribosomal RNA
Rfam family: Bacterial small subunit ribosomal RNA
Source: RNAcentral
UACGUAGGGGGCGAGCGUUGUCCGGAAUCAUUGGGCGUAAAGAGUACGUAGGCGGUCUGGUAAGCGCAAGGUGAAAGGCAUAGGCUCAACCAAUGUGAGCCUUGCGAACUGUCAGACUUGAGUGCGGGAGAGGAAAGCGGAAUUCCUGGUGUAGCGGUGAAAUGCGUAGAUAUCAGGAGGAAUACCGGUGGCGAAGGCGGCUUUCUGGACCGUAACUGACGCUGAGGUACGAAAGCGUGGGGAGCAAACA